RNAcentral lists this ribosomal RNA (581 nucleotides) under Moesziomyces antarcticus. Its description in RNAcentral is "partial large subunit ribosomal RNA". It matches the Rfam family "Eukaryotic large subunit ribosomal RNA", at positions 85 to 648 of the family's 3401-position model. The record is from RNAcentral. Lineage: Eukaryota; Fungi; Basidiomycota; Ustilaginomycetes; Ustilaginales; Ustilaginaceae.
UACGGCGAGUGAGAGGGAAGAGCCCAAGAUUGAAAGCUGGCGUCUUCGGCGUCCGCAUUGUAAUCUCAAGAAGUGUUUUCCGCUUCGGACCAAGCCUAAGUCCCCUGGAAAGGGGCAUCAUAGAGGGUGAUAAUCCCGUACAUGGCUUGGAGCGCCCGAGGCUUUGUGAUACGCUUUCUAAGAGUCGAGUUGUUUGGGAAUGCAGCUCAAAAUGGGUGGUAAAUGCCAUCUAAGGCUAAAUAUUGGGGAGAGACCGAUAGCGAACAAGUACAGUGAUGGAAAGAUGAAAAGAACUUUGAAAAGAGAGUUAAACAGUACGUGAAAUUGCCAAAAGGGAAGGGUAGGAGGUCAGAGAUGCGGCCUGGGAUUCAGCCUUGCUUUUGCUUGGUGUUUUUCCCAGAUUGCAGGCCAACGUCGGUUUUGGGCACUGGAGAAGGGUAGGAGGAACGUGGCACCCCUCGGGGUGUGUUAUAGCCUCCUACUGGAUACAGCGACCGAGACCGAGGACAGCAGCGUACUCGCAAGAGCGGGCCUUCGGGCACCUUUACGCUUAGGGCGUUGGCAUAAUGGCCCUCUACCAC